UGUUGUUGUUAUUAUUAUUCACAAAAAUAAAAUAAUAAAACAAAAUAGAUGUACGAGUUCAACAUCACGAAAAGUUCAAAAAUAUACUUAACCUGGUGAAAACCACAGAUAUGGUCAUCUUCUGAUGAGUUUUUAGUAAUAGCAGAUCAUUUCAGUGCUUCACAGUGUGAAUGUUUUCCACAAAAUAAAUCCUUGCACAUACUAUAUACUUACACUCAUUACAACAACGACGGAGUGAUCGACGCAGAGCCGUAGGUGGUGUUACAA
Molecule: long non-coding RNA, 267 nt
Organism: Myzus persicae (green peach aphid)
Lineage: Eukaryota; Metazoa; Arthropoda; Insecta; Hemiptera; Aphididae
Exons: 3
Source: RefSeq, a predicted model, not a curated record